AUUGAACGCUGGCGGCAGGCCUAACACAUGCAAGUCGAACGAGUGGCGGACGGGUGAGUAAUGUCUGGGAAACUGCCUGAUGGAGGGGGAUAACUACUGGAAACGGUAGCUAAUACCGCAUACCAUCAGAUGUGCCCAGAUGGGAUUAUCUUGUUGGUGGGGUAACGGCUCACCAAGGCGACGAUCCCUAGCUGGUGUGUGAGGAUGACCAGCAACACUGGAACUGUGACACGGUCCAGAUUCCUCCGGGACGCAGCAGGGGGGAAUAUUGCACAAGGGGCGACAGCCUGAUGCAGCCAUGCCGCGUGUAUGAAGAAGGCCUUCGGGGUGUAAAGUACUUUCAGCGGGGAGGCGUUACCCGCAGAAGAAGCACCGGCUAACUCCGUGCCAGCAGCCGCGGUAAUAC
RNAcentral lists this ribosomal RNA (406 nucleotides) under uncultured bacterium. RNAcentral describes it as "partial 16S ribosomal RNA". It matches the Rfam family "Bacterial small subunit ribosomal RNA", at positions 30 to 526 of the family's 1533-position model. The record is from RNAcentral.